RNAcentral lists this ribosomal RNA (429 nucleotides) under uncultured prokaryote. RNAcentral's name for it is "bacterial SSU rRNA". It matches the Rfam family "Bacterial small subunit ribosomal RNA", at positions 355 to 776 of the family's 1533-position model. RNAcentral also lists the same sequence under 1 other name. The record is from RNAcentral.
UGGGGAAUUUUGGACAAUGGGCGAAAGCCUGAUCCAGCCAUGCCGCGUGAGUGAAGAAGGCCUUCGGGUUGUAAAGCUCUUUCGGACGGAAAGAAAUCGCGCGGGCUAAUAUCCCGCGUGGAUGACGGUACCGUAAGAAGAAGCACCGGCUAACUACGUGCCAGCAGCCGCGGUAAUACGUAGGGUGCGAGCGUUAAUCGGAAUUACUGGGCGUAAAGCGUGCGCAGGCGGUUUUGUAAGACAGGUGUGAAAUCCCCGGGCUUAACCUGGGAACUGCGCUUGUGACUGCAAGGCUAGAGUACGGCAGAGGGGGGUGGAAUUCCACGUGUAGCAGUGAAAUGCGUAGAGAUGUGGAGGAACACCGAUGGCGAAGGCAGCCCCCUGGGCCUGUACUGACGCUCAUGCACGAAAGCGUGGGGAGCAAACAGG